AGGUGGACGGUCCGGUGGUAGCGCGCGUCGUUCGGGACGAAGAGGCCGGUGGUUCGAGUCCACUCACCCCGACCA
RNAcentral lists this transfer RNA (75 nucleotides) under Candidatus Poseidoniales archaeon. RNAcentral's name for it is "Marine Group II euryarchaeote tRNA-Pro". Lineage: Archaea; Methanobacteriati; Thermoplasmatota; Candidatus Poseidoniia; Candidatus Poseidoniales. The record is from RNAcentral.